RNAcentral lists this ribosomal RNA (253 nucleotides) under uncultured bacterium. Its description in RNAcentral is "partial 16S ribosomal RNA". It matches the Rfam family "Bacterial small subunit ribosomal RNA", at positions 524 to 776 of the family's 1533-position model. The record is from RNAcentral.
UACGGGGGGAGCAAGCGUUGUUCGGAAUCACUGGGCGUAAAGGGUGUGUAGGCGGGCGGGUAAGUCAGACGUGAAAAUCUAAAGCUUAACUUUGGACCUGCGUUUGAAACUAUCUGUCUUGAGUACGGGAGAGGAAAGUGGAAUUCCUGGUGUAGCGGUGAAAUGCGUAGAUAUCAGGAGGAACACCGGUGGCGAAGGCGGCUUUCUGGCCCGAUACUGACGCUGAGACACGAAGGCUAGGGGAGCAAACAGG